RNAcentral lists this unclassified non-coding RNA (257 nucleotides) under fungal sp. RNAcentral's name for it is "partial internal transcribed spacer region". The stretch from base 1 to 46 matches the Rfam family "Eukaryotic small subunit ribosomal RNA", at positions 1786 to 1831 of the family's 1831-position model. The record is from RNAcentral. Lineage: Eukaryota; Fungi.
AAGUCGUAACAAGGUCUCCGUUGGUGAACCAGCGGAGGGAUCAUUACCGAGUUUGCUUUUCUAGCUCGAAACCCACUGUGAACAUACCUCUUUACUCGUUGCUUCGGCGGCCUGGUCCCCCUCUCCCGGUCUCGGGAGGCGGGGUUCGACCGUCGGAGGGACGCAACCACAAACUCUUUUAAAUUACCUCUCGAGUAUUAUCUGAGUCGAUAUUUUUUAAAUUAUCAAAACUUUCAGCAACGGAUCUCUUGGUUCUG